This 774-nucleotide ribosomal RNA is filed under the name uncultured Neocallimastigales. Its description in RNAcentral is "partial large subunit ribosomal RNA". It matches the Rfam family "Eukaryotic large subunit ribosomal RNA", at positions 22 to 621 of the family's 3401-position model. The record is from RNAcentral. Lineage: Eukaryota; Fungi; Neocallimastigomycota; Neocallimastigomycetes; Neocallimastigales.
AUAUCAGUCAUGCAUAGCAUAUCAAUAAGCGGAGGAAAAGAAACUAACAAGGAUUCCCUUAGUAACGGCGAGUGAAGCGGGAAGAGCUUAAAUUUGAAAUCUUCAAGGUUUUACCUUGACGAAUUGUAGUUUAAAGAAGUGUUUUCUGUUGAAGUUUUGGUAAAAGUUCUUUGGAAUAGGACAUCAUAGAGGGUGAGAAUCCCGUAUUUGACCAUUACUUUCAGCUUUGUGAUACACUUUCAAAGAGUCGGAUUGUUUGGGAAUGCAGUCCAAAAUGGGUGGUAAAUUUCAUCUAAAGCUAAAUAUUGGCGAGAGACCGAUAGCGAACGAGUACCGUGAGGGAAAGAUGAAAAGAACUUUGAAAAGAGAGUUAAACAGUACGUGAAAUUGUCAAAAGGGAAGCGUUUGACACCAGUGUUGUUUUCUCGAAAAUCAAUUAAAAAGAGUUGGAUUUUGUGUUGUAUUGACUUUAUCAGCUUUCUUCACUCUUUUCCAGCUUUUUUUAAUGCACUUUUCGUUUAACAAGUCAACAUCAGUUUCUUUUGUUGUAAAAAGGUCAUUGGAAGGUGGCUUUCUCUUCGGAGAAAGUGUUUAUAGCCUUUGACUCAUGCAAUCGGAGAGACUGAGGUCUGCAGCGUAGAUCCUUCGGGGUUAGAUACAUUUGUGCUAAGUUAUAGCUUUUCAUAGACAACUUGUUGACUAUGUUUAGUCUUGUAGCUUACUCGCUUAUGCUAUUUUACCUACGCUUAGGAUGUUGAACUCUAUCACACACAG